This 253-nucleotide ribosomal RNA is filed under the name uncultured bacterium. RNAcentral's name for it is "partial 16S ribosomal RNA". It matches the Rfam family "Bacterial small subunit ribosomal RNA", at positions 524 to 776 of the family's 1533-position model. The record is from RNAcentral.
UACGUAGGGGGCAAGCGUUGUCCGGAUUUAUUGGGCGUAAAGAGCGUGUAGGCGGCUGGGAAGGUCCGCUGUGAAAACUCGAGGCUCAACCUCGAGACGCCGAUGGAAACCCUCCAGCUAGAGUCCGGAAGAGGAGAGUGGAAUUCCUGGUGUAGCGGUGAAAUGCGCAGAUAUCAGGAAGAACACCCGUGGCGAAGGCGGCUCUCUAGUACGGUACUGACGCUGAGACGCGAAAGCGUGGGGAGCGAACAGG